GACGAACGCUGGCGGCGUGCUUAACACAUGCAAGUCGAACGGAAAGGCCCUGCUUUUGUGGGGUGCUCGAGUGGCGAACGGGUGAGUAACACGUGAGUAACCUGCCCUUGACUUUGGGAUAACUUCAGGAAACUGGGGCUAAUACCGGAUAGGAGCUCCUGCUGCAUGGUGGGGGUUGGAAAGUUUCGGCGGUUGGGGAUGGACUCGCGGCUUAUCAGCUUGUUGGUGGGGUAGUGGCUUACCAAGGCUUUGACGGGUAGCCGGCCUGAGAGGGUGACCGGCCAAAGUGGGACAGGGGUGCGGCCAGGAGGCAAUGGGGGGGAAGGGGGGGGGAAUUUUGCGAAAGGGGCGGAGGGAGGGAGGAAGGACGCCGGGGGGGGAAAGGCGGCUUUGGGGUUGUAAACCGUUUGCGCCUAGGACGACGCGUGAGGGAGGGAAAUGGUGAAAAAAACACCGCUAAAGACGGG
Molecule: ribosomal RNA, 467 nt
Filed under: uncultured bacterium
Lineage: Bacteria
Description: partial 16S ribosomal RNA
Rfam family: Bacterial small subunit ribosomal RNA
Source: RNAcentral